GCUAAAUCUUCCAUACCUGUCAAUUCCUUCCCAGUUUAAAAAAACCACUGGAAUAGCAGGCGAGCCAAUUAAAUGGGUAUGAAUCUGAAACUCAGGUUAUAAACUAGUGUCUGUAUUUUCAAGCGAUAUGCUGCUGCUGCUGCUGCACUGCUUCAAUCGUGUCUCAGGUAAUACUUUUUCCUUUAUU
This 187-nucleotide long non-coding RNA is filed under the name Capra hircus (goat). Its description in RNAcentral is "lncRNA (ENSCHIG00000007621.1)". Lineage: Eukaryota; Metazoa; Chordata; Mammalia; Artiodactyla; Bovidae. The record is from RNAcentral.